Molecule: ribosomal RNA, 52 nt
Filed under: Tulasnella sp. M-8
Lineage: Eukaryota; Fungi; Basidiomycota; Agaricomycetes; Cantharellales; Tulasnellaceae
Description: partial 28S ribosomal RNA
Source: RNAcentral
ACAAUACAUGACCUCAUUGGGGUAGGACAACCCGCUAGACUUAAGCAUAUCA